Non-coding RNA from Cinara cedri, 415 nucleotides. NCBI's taxonomy places the organism in Eukaryota, Metazoa, Arthropoda, Insecta, Hemiptera, Aphididae. The record is from the annotation of a GenBank genome assembly.
UGACUAUGAAAUCACUUGUUCGAUUGUUACUUAUAAUAAUAAUAAACACCAAAAAUAAACAAACCGAAAAUUAUCUUUAACUCACAAGCAAACUAAUAAUAUUUGAAUUAUCUUUUUAGCAAAAGUUACAUAAAAACUAUCACUGAGGAAUGUGUUGUUUAAAUGUGUGUUGUUAAAUAAAUGUUUGAUACUUUUUAUUUAGACCAAUAUAAUAACCCUAAUUUGUGAAUACACUGUAAAAUUAUAAAGAUACAAGCAAUUACUUUUAAAUAUAUUAAUUUUCACGCGCCAGUGAUUAGUAGUUUUAAAAUACUUGAUAUGAUUAAAAAAAAAAAAUUAAAGAAAUAUAAAAAUAUUUUAAGUUAAGUUAAGUAUAUGCAUUAUGCAAAAUUCACACACAAGAUAUAAGUACAUU